AACCUAUUCCAUUGUAAAACCUAAGCCAUUCAUUCCGCAGAAAGCACGCGGCGGCUAGGUCAGAGUUCUAGCAACAUCAAUGUAUACGAGAGAGAAAUAUAUCUGCAUCGAGUGUAAUUUCCUUGAUUAAAUUGCAACAAAGCCAUGUCAACAAUACAAAAUUUGUUGACAUGAAAAAAGUAAUAUUUGUCAAGAAUCCACAAGAGAUAUCGGAUCUUCGGUGAUGGAUCAACAACCACCUGAUGUUAUCAAUGACGAUGAUUAGAAGCAGGUAGCUCAUCCUCCUUAUUCAAAAUAAGCAGUUUGCAAGAAAGGAAGCGUUUACUGUGUUCUUAUGAUUUACAUCACUGAAGUCAGUUAACAUUCUGGAAAGGUGAUUCCUCACAAAUACAUGAUCAACAACUAGUGAUUUCCACAACUUACAAAUGCACCUCAAAUCAAGAGGAUUGUUGGAAUUAAUCCUUGACAUGAUUAGAAGCAGAUAGCUCAUCCUCCUCCUCAUCCUCUUCCUCAGAUUACUUUAAAUGGAGUCAAAAUCAAAUUGGAGCUUGCAGAUAAUUAAUAUGCAUAACUAAAUUGUAGUGUUUACAUGAUGAGAAAUGAUUUAUGUACACAAAACUCAAAACUACCUUGUAUUUCCUUUUAAUUGUGUAAUCAAUUUCAUGUUUUAUUUGUGGUGUUUGGGAACCUUUAUAUUCUCAAUUUUAUGGACCAACAAAGACAUAAUUAAUGCAUUUUUUUUCUUUCCUC
Medicago truncatula (barrel medic) is the source of this 750-nucleotide long non-coding RNA. RefSeq lists it as uncharacterized. Lineage: Eukaryota; Viridiplantae; Streptophyta; Magnoliopsida; Fabales; Fabaceae. The record is from RefSeq and is a predicted model, not a curated record. The transcript has 2 exons.